GUAGGGUGCAAACGUUGUUCGGAAUCACUGGGCAUAAAGAGCGCGUAGGCGGUCUGAUCAGUCCCGUGUGAAAGCCCUCGGGCUCAACCGAGGAACUGCACUGGAAACUGUCAAGCUAGAGUACAGGAGGGGAGAGCGGAAUUCCUGGUGGAGCGGUGAAAUGCGUAGAUAUCAGGAGGAACGCCGGUGGCGAAAGCGGCUCUCUGGUCUGUUACUGACGCUGAGGCGCGAAAGCUAGGGGAGCAAACGGGAUUAGAUACCCCGGUAGUCCUAGCCCUAAACGAUGGGUACUAAGUAGAGGGGAUUCCGAUGUUCUCUCUGCCGGAGCUAAUGUAUUAAGUACCCCGCCUGGGGAGUAUGGUCGCAAGGCUA
This 372-nucleotide ribosomal RNA is filed under the name uncultured organism. RNAcentral describes it as "partial 16S ribosomal RNA". It matches the Rfam family "Bacterial small subunit ribosomal RNA", at positions 527 to 896 of the family's 1533-position model. The record is from RNAcentral.